ACCUUUGUGGUGUAGUGGUCAGCACGCUCGGCUGGUAUUCGAGACAUCCGUGGUUCGAGUCCCGGGGAAGGCA
Molecule: transfer RNA, 73 nt
Filed under: Stegodyphus mimosarum
Lineage: Eukaryota; Metazoa; Arthropoda; Arachnida; Araneae; Eresidae
Rfam family: tRNA
About the family: Transfer RNA (tRNA) molecules are approximately 80 nucleotides in length.
Source: Rfam by way of RNAcentral